UGUACUUGGUGUUACUGCGAAGGGGGGACGGAGAAGGCUAUGUUGGCCGGGCGACGGUUGUCCCGGUUUAAGCGUGUAGGCUGGUUUUCCAGGCAAAUCCGGAAAAUCAAGGCUGAGGCGUGAUGACGAGGCACUACGGUGCUGAAGCAACAAAUGCCCUGCUUCCAGGAAAAGCCUCUAAGCAUCAGGUAACAUCAAAUCGUACCCCAAACCGACACAGGUGGUCAGGUAGAGAAUACCAAGGCGCUUGAGAGAACUCGGGUGAAGGAACUAGGCAAAAUGGUGCCGUAACUUCGGGAGAAGGCACGCUGAUAUGUAGGUGAAGCGACUUGCUCGUGGAGCUGAAAUCAGUCGAAGAUACCAGCUGGCUGCAACUGUUUAUUAAAAACACAGCACUGUGCAAACACGAAAGUGGACGUAUACGGUGUGACGCCUGCCCGGUGCCGGAAGGUUAAUUGAUGGGGUUAGCGGUAACGCGAAGCUCUUGAUCGAAGCCCCGGUAAACGGCGGCCGUAACUAUAACGGUCCUAAGGUAGCGAAAUUCCUUGUCGGGUAAGUUCCGACCUGCACGAAUGGCGUAAUGAUGGCCAGGCUGUCUCCACCCGAGACUCAGUGAAAUUGAACUCGCUGUGAAGAUGCAGUGUACCCGCGGCAAGACGGAAAGACCCCGUGAACCUUUACUAUAGCUUGACACUGAACAUUGAGCCUUGAUGUGUAGGAUAGGUGGGAGGCUUUGAAGUGUGGACGCCAGUCUGCAUGGAGCCGACCUUGAAAUACCACCCUUUAAUGUUUGAUGUUCUAACGUUGGCCCGUGAUCCGGGUUGCGGACAGUGUCUGGUGGGUAGUUUGACUGGGGCGGUCUCCUCCUAAAGAGUAACGGAGGAGCACGAAGGUUGGCUAAUCCUGGUCGGACAUCAGGAGGUUAGUGCAAUGGCAUAAGCCAGCUUGACUGCGAGCGUGACGGCGCGAGCAGGUGCGAAAGCAGGUCAUAGUGAUCCGGUGGUUCUGAAUGGAAGGGCCAUCGCUCAACGGAUAAAAGGUACUCCGGGGAUAACAGGCUGAUACCGCCCAAGAGUUCAUAUCGACGGCGGUGUUUGGCACCUCGAUGUCGGCUCAUCACAUCCUGGGGCUGAAGUAGGUCCCAAGGGUAUGGCUGUUCGCCAUUUAAAGUGGUACGCGAGCUGGGUUUAGAACGUCGUGAGACAGUUCGGUCCCUAUCUGCCGUGGGCGCUGGAGAACUGAGGGGGGCUGCUCCUAGUACGAGAGGACCGGAGUGGACGCAUCACUGGUGUUCGGGUUGUCAUGCCAAUGGCACUGCCCGGUAGCUAAAUGCGGAAGAGAUAAGUGCUGAAAGCAUCUAAGCACGAAACUUGCCCCGAGAUGAGUUCUCCCUGACUCCCUGAGAGUCCUGAAGGAACGUUGAAGACGACGACGUUGAUAGGCCGGGUGUGUAAGCGCAGCGAUGCGUUGAGCUAACCGGUACUAAUGAACCGUGAGGCUUAACCUU
This 1507-nucleotide ribosomal RNA is filed under the name Escherichia coli 6-175-07_S1_C2. RNAcentral describes it as "bacterial LSU rRNA". It matches the Rfam family "Bacterial large subunit ribosomal RNA", at positions 1440 to 2925 of the family's 2925-position model. The record is from RNAcentral. Lineage: Bacteria; Pseudomonadati; Pseudomonadota; Gammaproteobacteria; Enterobacterales; Enterobacteriaceae.